This 265-nucleotide ribosomal RNA is filed under the name uncultured archaeon. RNAcentral's name for it is "partial 16S ribosomal RNA". It matches the Rfam family "Archaeal small subunit ribosomal RNA", at positions 716 to 982 of the family's 1478-position model. The record is from RNAcentral.
AGUCACUGACAUUAGAUACCCGCGUAGUCCAGGGUGUAAACGCUGCAGACUUGGUGUUGGGAACCCUUCGGGGGUGCUCAGUGCCGGAGAGAAGUUGUUAAGUCUGCUACUUGGGGAGUACGUCCGCAAGGAUGAAACUUAAAGGAAUUGGCGGGGGAGCACCGCAACGGGAGGAGCGUGCGGUUUAAUUGGAUUCAACGCCGAAAAACUCACCAGCAGCGACUGUUACAUGAAAGUCAGGUUGAUGACCUUACUAGAUUUUCAG